RNAcentral lists this ribosomal RNA (253 nucleotides) under uncultured bacterium. RNAcentral's name for it is "partial 16S ribosomal RNA". It matches the Rfam family "Bacterial small subunit ribosomal RNA", at positions 524 to 776 of the family's 1533-position model. The record is from RNAcentral.
UACGAAGGGGGCUAGCGUUGCUCGGAAUGACUGGGCGUAAAGGGCGCGUAGGCGGUUUGCACAGUCAGGCGUGAAAUUCCUGGGCUUAACCUGGGGGCUGCGCUUGAUACUGCGGCGCUGGAAUGCAGGAGAGGAUGGCGGAAUUCCCAGUGUAGAGGUGAAAUUCGUAGAUAUUGGGAAGAACACCAGUGGCGAAGGCGGCUCACUGGCCCGAUACUGACGCUGAGGCACGAAAGCGUGGGGAGCAAACAGG